GACGAACGCUGGCGGCGUGCCUAAUACAUGCAAGUCGAGCGGACUUUAUCCUUCGGGGUAAGGUUAGCGGCGGACGGGUGAGUAACACGUAGGCAACCUGCCUAUGAGACUGGGAUAACUACCGGAAACGGUAGCUAAGACCGGAUACGCAAUUUCCUCGCAUGAGGGAAUUGGGAAAAGCGGAGUAAUCUGCUGCUCAUGGAUGGGCCUGCGGCGCAUUAGCUAGUUGGUGAGGUAACGGCUCACCAAGGCGACGAUGCGUAGCCGACCUGAGAGGGUGAUCGGCCACACUGGGACUGAGACACGGCCCAGACUCCUACGGGAGGCAGCAGUGGGGAAUCUUGCGCAAUGGGCGAAAGCCUGACGCAGCGACGCCGCGUGAGGGAUGACGGCCUCGGUGUAAC
This 404-nucleotide ribosomal RNA is filed under the name uncultured bacterium. RNAcentral describes it as "bacterial SSU rRNA". It matches the Rfam family "Bacterial small subunit ribosomal RNA", at positions 28 to 429 of the family's 1533-position model. The record is from RNAcentral.